UGGCGGUGUUUUAUUCUCGUUAGAGGAACCUGUUAUAUAAAAGAUUUUACACUAUAGGCUACUUUUAAUAAUCUUAUAUAUCGUUGUCUUAAGAAUUAAUUAAAAGUUUUUUCGGUGUUUUAAAUAAAGUAACGUCAAAUCAAGGUGUAGAGUUUAAAAGUUUAAAUGGGUUACAGUUAUUUAAAUAAUUUACUGGUGUGAAAUUGAUUAAACUAGUAAAUUGGAUUUAAAAGUAAUAUUUUAGUUUACAAAAUUUAAAUUGAGCUCUGAAAC
Molecule: ribosomal RNA, 273 nt
Filed under: Proisotoma minuta
Lineage: Eukaryota; Metazoa; Arthropoda; Collembola; Entomobryomorpha; Isotomidae
Description: partial small subunit 12S ribosomal RNA
Source: RNAcentral